ACGCUGGCGGCAGGCUUACACAUGCAAGUCGAACGGUAACAGGAGAAAGCUUGCUUUCUUGCUGACGAGUGGCGGACGGGUGAGUAAUGCUUGGGAAUCUGGCUUAUGGAGGGGGAUAACGACGGGAAACUAUCGCUAAUACCGCGUAGAGUCGAGAGACGAAAGUGCGGGACCGCAAGGCCGCAUGCCAUAGGAUGAGCCCAAGUGGGAUUAGGUAGUUGGUGGGGUAAAGGCCUACCAAGCCGACGAUCUCUAGCUGGUCUGAGAGGAUGACCAGCCACACCGGGACUGAGACACGGCCCGGACUCCUACGGGAGGCAGCAGUGGGGAAUAUUGCGCAAUGGGGGCAACCCUGACGCAGCCAUGCCGCGUGAAUGAAGAAGGCCUUCGGGUUGUAAAGUUCUUUCGGUAUUGAGGAAGGUUGUUGUGUUAAUAGCACGACAAAUUGACGUUAAAUACAGAAGAAGCACCGGCUAACUCCGUGCCAGCAGCCGCGGUAAUACGGAGGGUGCGAGCGUUAAUCGGAAUAACUGGGCGUAAAGGGCACGCAGGCGGACUUUUAAGUGAGGUGUGAAAUCCCCGGGCUUAACCUGGGAAUUGCAUUUCAGACUGGGAGUCUAGAGUACUUUAGGGAGGGGUAGAAUUCCACGUGUAGCGGUGAAAUGCGUAGAGAUGUGGAGGAAUACCGAAGGCGAAGGCAGCCCCUUGGGAAUGUACUGACGCUCAUGUGCGAAAGCGUGGGGAGCAAACAGGAUUAGAUACCCUGGUAGUCCACGCUGUAAACGCUGUCGAUUUGGGGAUUGGGCCUUGAGCUUGGUGCCCGAAGCUAACGUGAUAAAUCGACCGCCUGGGGAGUACGGCCGCAAGGUUAAACUCAAAUGAAUUGACGGGGGCCCGCACAAGCGGUGG
RNAcentral lists this ribosomal RNA (909 nucleotides) under uncultured bacterium. RNAcentral's name for it is "bacterial SSU rRNA". It matches the Rfam family "Bacterial small subunit ribosomal RNA", at positions 33 to 935 of the family's 1533-position model. The record is from RNAcentral.